AUCACUUGUUCUCUAAAUAGGGACUUGUAUGAAUGGCCACACGAGGGUUUUACUGGCUCUUGCUUCCAAUCAGUGAAAUUGACCUUCCCGUGAAGAGGCGGGAAUACAUUAAUAAGACGAGAAGACCCUAUGGAGCUUUAACUACUUGACCCAAAGAAAUAAAUUUCAUCGCUAAGGAAACAACAACACUCUUCAUGGGCCAACAGCUUUGGUUGGGGUGACCUCGGAGAACAAGAAAUCCUCCGAGCGAUUUUAAAGACUAGACCUACAAGUCGAAUCACACAAUCGUUUAUUGAUCCAAAAAA
This 305-nucleotide ribosomal RNA is filed under the name Axis axis (chital). RNAcentral's name for it is "partial 16S ribosomal RNA". It matches the Rfam family "Archaeal large subunit ribosomal RNA", at positions 2041 to 2454 of the family's 2987-position model. Lineage: Eukaryota; Metazoa; Chordata; Mammalia; Artiodactyla; Cervidae. The record is from RNAcentral.